This is a small nucleolar RNA of Perognathus longimembris pacificus (Pacific pocket mouse), 134 nucleotides long. RefSeq annotates it as U8 small nucleolar RNA. The transcript has a single exon. NCBI's taxonomy places the organism in Eukaryota, Metazoa, Chordata, Mammalia, Rodentia, Heteromyidae. The record is from RefSeq and is a predicted model, not a curated record.
GUGUUAGGUAAGAUAAUCCUUACCUAUUCCUCCAUUUAGAGAAAAGAUAGGACAUGAUGACUGGAUUGUCCAUCAUAAGUAACUAGUGUCUCUGCAUAGUCUGACUUGCAACUCCCUGGAUGUUCCUGUAUGCU